AACGCACAUUGCACCUUUUGGUAUUCCAUGAGGUAUACAUGUUCGAGCGUCGUUUAAAUCUGAGACUCACGUCUUGUGUUGACGUAUUCCGACGGAUGUUGGAACGUUGAAAAUUAUAGGCGCACGUGACUCGUGACGAACCCAACAAUCUGGAUAAGUUCGAGUUUUCAUGCUGCCGAUAAAACUUUUACAUUAACGUUCGACCUCGAAUCAUGUAGGAUUACCCGCUGAACUUAA
Molecule: unclassified non-coding RNA, 237 nt
Filed under: uncultured Dothideomycetes
Lineage: Eukaryota; Fungi; Ascomycota; Dothideomycetes
Description: sequence contains ITS2
Source: RNAcentral